CCAAACUGGAAGAAACUCCACAGGAAUGUUAACUGGCAUGUGCUGAUUUCCAGUUUGACUUUGGAAUUUUCAAAAUGGCUGCCGUUACCAUGGAAACAGCUAAAAUAUCAAAAAUUCUAACUCUUUCGUUAUAACAUCCAACUGGAUGAAACUUUAUGAAAAUGUUCUCCAGUAUGCCAAGAUGUCAAGACAAUAUAUGGAUAGUUCAAAAUGGCCGCCGUUGUCAUGGAAACUGGGGCCAAGUUUUGCAUUGACCCUAUGGAAAAAUGCAUAAAAUCAGCAUUUUCUCAGAGAGUAGUGCACCAAAGUCAAUGAAACUGUAUUGAUAUAUAACAUGACAUGUGGCAAUGAGAUGUACGCUUUUAGAAUUUUGGAAUUAUCUACUGUAACCAUGGUUGCAGCACAAAUGUUCAAAAUUUCCAAAAAAAAUUAAGUGCUGCAAACUGGAUGAAACUUUACAGGAAUAGUGACUGACAUGUGCGGAGUUGCAUUUUGAAGUUGGAAUUUCCAAAAUGGCCGCCGUAACCAUGGAAACAGCAAAAUUGUCCAAAAUUUCAAAAUGCUUCAAACUUAAUGAAAUUUUGCAAAAAUGAUAACUUGCAAGGGUAGAUGCCUUCUUUGACUUUGGAAUUUUCAAAAAUGGCUGCCGCUCGCCUGGCAAUGGGGGACGAGGGUGCCAUCCGUUAUUGCUAGC
RNAcentral lists this long non-coding RNA (694 nucleotides) under Mytilus galloprovincialis (Mediterranean mussel). The record is from RNAcentral. Lineage: Eukaryota; Metazoa; Mollusca; Bivalvia; Mytilida; Mytilidae.